UGAUAGGGGAGGGUCUGGGAGUCACCAGCCUUGUUCCUUUGUUUGAGACCAUGUGGACUUGCACCAGAUAAAGAUGCUUUUGUCGACUCUGUGGAUGCAAAGAUUAUGAAGAUGUGGGAGAGUUUGCUCUGGGAAUGAAAACAUUCCGUCUGCCUCCCACGUCACCGUGCACCAACCUGCGUCCUGCUCCCGCCACAUGACUGAGGAUAAUGACUCACCUGGAC
Molecule: long non-coding RNA, 224 nt
Organism: Pleuronectes platessa (European plaice)
Lineage: Eukaryota; Metazoa; Chordata; Actinopteri; Pleuronectiformes; Pleuronectidae
Exons: 3
Source: RefSeq, a predicted model, not a curated record